GCGGAUGGUUGGAUGACCGCGCAUAUCGGCUCUUGGGCAUGUAUGCGAGGAAAGUCCGGGCUCCAUGAGGCAAGGGUGCCGGGUAACGCCCGGCUGGGGCAACCCAAGGGAAAGCGCCACAGAAAACAGACCGCCAUGCGCUUGUAUGGUAAGGGUGAAACGGUGGGGUAAAAGCCCACCGCGGGACGGGUAACCGGACCGGCACGGCAAGCCCCACCCGGAGCAAUGCCGAAUAGGGAUCUCACGCGGGCAUGAUCCGGGCGACCGGAUAUCACCGCAGGGCCGCCUCAGCCCGAGGUCCGGGUUGGCAGCAAGACCCUGUCUGCAAGGGCAGGGCCAGAUGAAUGGUCAUCCAAGGGGGAAUACCCCCGGGACAAAACCCGGCUUACAGACCAUCCGCACAA
RNAcentral lists this RNase P RNA (404 nucleotides) under Roseinatronobacter bogoriensis subsp. barguzinensis. RNAcentral describes it as "Rhodobaca barguzinensis Bacterial RNase P class A". It matches the Rfam family "Bacterial RNase P class A". From Rfam's summary of the family: Ribonuclease P (RNase P) is a ubiquitous endoribonuclease, found in archaea, bacteria and eukarya as well as chloroplasts and mitochondria. The record is from Rfam by way of RNAcentral. Lineage: Bacteria; Pseudomonadati; Pseudomonadota; Alphaproteobacteria; Rhodobacterales; Paracoccaceae. RNAcentral also lists the same sequence under 1 other name.